AGGUGCUACUAUGGCUGAGAACAUCUGUUUUGCUCCUUCUCCAUCCUUCGCAUGGCAGGGCACCGUCCUGACACAGGUCAACCAUGGUUCACAGAUUAACAUGAUCUCCAGGAAGCCAGCAUGUCCUUGCCCAGCUAGACUCCCAGAGACCUGCUGCGUGCCCACCAGCUUCUUGUCUCUAGGGAUAGAAGAUGGUGGGAGCUGGAGACAAGCAGGGCAGCUGGCAGAUUUUGCAAUAUGCAGAAGAUCCCCUGGCCCUCCCUCUGUGGCUGAAUUUAUGGGUAAAAAACAAACAGGAGCUUGGAAGCCAGGUAAGACUCGCCUUACUUCUUUCUCCAAGUAUUUUGGACUCAGCAUGGCUCUAGGUGUUACAGGAAGUAAUGACACCCAAGAUUGGGCCCCUGCCUUAAACGACCUCAGUUAAGGGGCUAAAUCCAUUCCACACCAAACAAUAUGAAAAUAUGGGAGGUGCUUCAGGUCUGGCAUGCUGCCAGCUAUGCACGCAGUAGGAGAUGUCCCUGGGUCUUGGUGUUUGGGAAUGGGCAUCAUACUGACCAGCAUCUAAAGGUUGUUCCACUGCUAUCAGUACAGCAUCGGAGAUGGUCCUCUGGCCCACUGCACCUGAGUUUUGUGUCCAGAAUGAACAGGGCAGCCUGAUUCCAGGGCCCCUAUGAGGACAGGAAGCACUUUAGGGUGUCAGGAAGACAGGGACCCAUCUGUUCUGUGCACAGCCACAACCCUGGUA
RNAcentral lists this long non-coding RNA (745 nucleotides) under Callithrix jacchus (white-tufted-ear marmoset). Its description in RNAcentral is "lncRNA (ENSCJAG00000082983.1)". The record is from RNAcentral. Lineage: Eukaryota; Metazoa; Chordata; Mammalia; Primates; Cebidae.